ACGGAAGUAGUUCAGUGGUAGAGCACUGGUCUCCAAAACCAGGUGUCGGGAGUUCGAAUCUCUCCUUCCGUGCGA
This 75-nucleotide transfer RNA is filed under the name Bacteroidales bacterium. Its description in RNAcentral is "tRNA-Trp". It matches the Rfam family "tRNA". Rfam says of the family: Transfer RNA (tRNA) molecules are approximately 80 nucleotides in length. Their secondary structure includes four short double-helical elements and three loops (D, anti-codon, and T loops). Further hydrogen bonds mediate the characteristic L-shaped molecular structure. tRNAs have two regions of fundamental functional importance: the anti-codon, which is responsible for specific mRNA codon recognition, and the 3' end, to which the tRNAs corresponding amino acid is attached (by aminoacyl-tRNA synthetases). tRNAs cope with the degeneracy of the genetic code in two manners: having more than one tRNA (with a specific anti-codon) for a particular amino acid; and 'wobble' base-pairing, i.e. permitting non-standard base-pairing at the 3rd anti-codon position. The record is from RNAcentral. Lineage: Bacteria; Pseudomonadati; Bacteroidota; Bacteroidia; Bacteroidales.